UGGGGGAUAUUGCACAAUGGGCGAAAGCCUGAUGCAGCGACGCCGCGUGGGGGAUGAAGGCCUUCGGGUUGUAAACUUCUUUUGCUCUGAACAAGGCAUGCCUUUGGGGUGUGUUGAGUGUAGGGGUUGAUUAGCGCCGGCUAACUACGUGCCAGCAUCCGCGGUAAUACGUAGGGCGCGAGCGUUGUCCGGAAUUAUUGGGCGUAAAGGGCUUGUAGGUGGCUGGUUGCGUCUGUCGUGAAAGCUCAUGGCUUAACUGUGGGUUUGCGGUGGGUACGGGCUGGCUUGAGGGGAGUAGGGGAGGCUGGAAUUCCUGGUGUAGAGGUGGAAUGCGCAGAUAUCAGGAGGAAUACCGGUGGCGAAGGCGGGUCUCUGGGCUGUUACUGACGCUGAGGAGCGAAAGCGUGGGGAGCGAACAGG
Molecule: ribosomal RNA, 420 nt
Filed under: Fusobacteriota bacterium
Lineage: Bacteria; Fusobacteriati; Fusobacteriota
Description: Fusobacteria bacterium partial 16S ribosomal RNA
Rfam family: Bacterial small subunit ribosomal RNA
Source: RNAcentral